AUUGAACGCUGGCGGAAUGCUUUACACAUGCAAGUCGAACGGCAGCACGGACUUCGGUCUGGUGGCGAGUGGCGAACGGGUGAGUAAUGUAUCGGAACGUGCCCAGUCGUGGGGGAUAACGUAGUGAAAAUUACGCUAAUACCGCAUACGAUCUAGGGAUGAAAGAGGGGGAUCGCAAGACCUCGCGCGAUUGGAGCGGCCGAUAUCAGAUUAGGUAGUGGGUGGGGUAAAGGCCCACCAAGCCAACGAUCUGUAGCUGGUCUGAGAGGACGACCAGCCACACUGGAACUGAGACACGGUCCAGACUCCUACGGGAGGCAGCAGUGGGGAAUUUUGGACAAUGGGCGAAAGCCUGAUCCAGCCAUUCCGCGUGCAGGAUGAAGGCCCUCGGGUUGUAAACUGCUUUUGUACAGAACGAAAAGGUUUCUACUAAUACUAGGAGCUCAUGACGGUACUGUAAGAAUGAGCACCGGCUAACUACGUGCCAGCCGCCGCGGUAA
Molecule: ribosomal RNA, 500 nt
Filed under: uncultured bacterium
Lineage: Bacteria
Description: partial 16S ribosomal RNA
Rfam family: Bacterial small subunit ribosomal RNA
Source: RNAcentral